UGUUUAUCAAGGGUCAGGAGCAGAUGAUCUACCCAACGGGACGGAACUUAGCGUGCUGCGAAGGGUCAGCUGUGAUGGAGAACAUGCUUUGUAACUGGCACAGAAGUCUCAGAGGCUUACAUUUAUAUUUGUACAAGUAAAUUUAUAGCCCCUGCCUAAUAAAGGUCCAUGCUGCAAAGGACUGGCAUAAACAUACAACGGAGUGGCUGCUUUUUCCAUUCAGCAGGAUUCUGCAUAGUCACUGCUGUCCUCUAGACUGGCUGCAAACCUCCAUACUCCUCAUCCCUCUCAUUCAGCAUUAUUCUGUCACCCUGAAUGUAGGAAACAGCUAUAGCCCCUUCUUCACAGCCCCAGAGACACUAAUUGUACCUCCCCCAAAACAACCCACUGUGGUCACCAGCACCCACAAAGAACAAGCAAGAGAUACGAGACAGCUUCUGCUGGCUUUUGGAGAGGGAGUGGUGGCAGUGGAAAUAAAUAAUCCAAGCAUAAAUGUGGAUGAAAAUUAAGAACUGCUUAUUUUGAGUGAUGUUUCCAAACUCAACAGUAAAGCGAAACCUGCUUCAGCACUUGAACUCCAUUAUCUCAUAAAACCUGAGCACAAAAAACCCUUGUGCCUUAGGACCGCUGGCGUUAGGGGUAGGGAGUCUGGUGGCCAAGAAAGAGGCUGAGCACCAAGUACCACCUAGCAAGGUAUCAGCACACAAGCCUCCUUGUAACUGGCCAGCAUCACUUUUUGGCCAUGGAAUAAUGAGACUUAGUAGCCAACAGAGGAAAUAUCUGUGUCCAUAUACCGCACCUACCUGUUAUUCUCUUGGUCAAAAUUAAGGAAGAUUGUCAUUUGGGACAGGGGGUUACUUUAAACGCUGAGAAAGUGAAGACUAAGCGUGAAUCAAUGACUGAACCAACUAGUGUCUGUAUUGCAUUAGCAUCUAGACAUCCACGUGAAGCAUCUCAGCCCCACUGUGCAAGGAACUGGAUGACAGGCACAGCCUUAGAGAACAGUAGUGGCAGGAGCAGUGUCUUUGUGUCAAAGGGCUACCAGAGGUCUUCCUGUCUACAGGAAUCUCUGUGCAAGAGGAUUCCUUGAUGCUCUGACAAUUACAAGGCAUAUUCCACCCUGACUCGCAGGUGCACGAAGAGCGUAAGCCACAGAUGAAUCUGACCAGGACUUUCCCUGCUAGCCUUGUGUUGAAGGAAUGGAAUUCUCUCCAGAUUUCUCACCUUCCUGGUGUUACUUUAAUUCAACCCAGCCCCACAGCUCAUCUCAGAGCCCAGGAAAAGCCCCUCUAAUUCACCAAAAACCUCCGCCUGGUGGAGAGAGAUUUUCCAACAGGAUUGCAUGAAGUCUUGCUUAUGGUACUCAUUUAAGACCUUUGACCUGAAAACUGCAACUGCAUAUAGAUACCAUCCUCACCCUAUUCCACCAGGAUCAGGUGGGACAACACCCAACUCAGGGCUCGCAUGCAACCACUAAGUGCUUUAUUACUGCAAUAUAAAAACAGGAAAGAAAUAAAGCUACCAUACAUGUUAAGGUCGCUCUAACACGAUCACCAAAGCAGUCCAGAUUUCUUGGACUUCUGUUUCCUCUCUACGCAUUGCAUCCAGUAUGCUUGUGAUAGAUUCCAAAGUAGGCUUUACACCAGAGCUUUCCUUAUUUGAACACAACCGAAACCACAUUUGUGGGUUACAAGCCUGCCUCGAAAACUUGGCGAAAACAUCAGGCCAUCGUUCUUCACUGGUUCUCUUCACAGACCUGGGGUAAAUUUUCAGUGAAUUGCAUAGGGUGUUUUCUAAGUCUUCUGACUCCCAUUAAAAAUCAAUAGAAAAAAAACCUACACAGCUAUAGAAAUAGGCUCCUGUGGUUUCUUAAGUAACAGCCACCAAUGACCAUCUAUAAGCAGAAUGGAGAACCUCUUCUCUCUGACAGGGGAAAGCUGCAGCCUUGGCUGGGCGGCUUGGGAAAUGACAGCUGUUAGACCCACUUCCUUUCAUCAUGCCCUGAAGGCCCAGAAAACCCUCAACCCACUGUUUUGAACACUAAAAACUUGACUGCCACGUAGGUGUUCCAUUUUAAUCCUAAAGCGUGGCAUAUUAUGUACCUGAGUUUGAGCAAGCAUUUGAAGAGCGCAUUCCUUCAAAACAUUUAGCCCAUUUACUUUAAAAUAAAAGGAGGUGAUAACACUUACUUCUCUGGCAUUGUGUCUAGUGCAAGGAG
Long non-coding RNA from Mauremys mutica (yellowpond turtle), 2218 nucleotides. RefSeq lists it as uncharacterized. The transcript has 3 exons. The record is from RefSeq and is a predicted model, not a curated record. Lineage: Eukaryota; Metazoa; Chordata; Testudines; Geoemydidae.